UGCAUUCACUACUGUAAGUCUUCUCUGGAUAAGAGCGUCUGCUAAAUGACUAAAA
Non-coding RNA from Salmo salar (Atlantic salmon), 55 nucleotides. The record is from Rfam. Lineage: Eukaryota; Metazoa; Chordata; Actinopteri; Salmoniformes; Salmonidae.